Molecule: unclassified non-coding RNA, 315 nt
Filed under: Hevea brasiliensis (rubber tree)
Lineage: Eukaryota; Viridiplantae; Streptophyta; Magnoliopsida; Malpighiales; Euphorbiaceae
Source: RNAcentral
AUAGAAACAAAAAUAUUUGGUUUCUGUUUAGAGUUUUAUUUAGGCUCUGUUAAAAAAUAUGGCGUUGUGGUUUUCUUUCAUAUAUCUUUGCACACAAACCCAAAUCUGAUUUAUUUGAUUUGAAUAAUACAGUAUGUGUUUGAUUUCUGGUGUUGUGGUUUCAUGCAAAAUUUUUUCUUGUUCUAGGAUUUUCUUUCAUGUACCUUUGCACAUAAACCCAUAUUCCGAUUUAUUUAUUUUGAUUACUGCUUAAAUUUUAUUUUAUUUUUUAAUUUACUGUUGAAGUUAUUGAAGGAAUAUUCAUCUUGCCUUGGG